UGGGGAAUAUUGCACAAUGGGCGAAAGCCUGAUGCAGCGACGCCGCGUGAGGGAUGACGGCCUUCGGGUUGUAAACCUCUUUCAGCAGGGACGAAGCGCAAGUGACGGUACCUGCAGAAGAAGCACCGGCUAACUACGUGCCAGCAGCCGCGGUAAUACGUAGGGUGCAAGCGUUGUCCGGAAUUACUGGGCGUAAAGAGUUCGUAGGCGGUUUGUCGCGUCGUUUGUGAAAACCAGCAGCUCAACUGCUGGCUUGCAGGCGAUACGGGCAGACUUGAGUACUGCAGGGGAGACUGGAAUUCCUGGUGUAGCGGUGAAAUGCGCAGAUAUCAGGAGGGACACCGGUGGCGAAGGCGGGUCUCUGGGCAGUAACUGACGCUGAGGAACGAAAGCGUGGGUAGCGAACAGG
RNAcentral lists this ribosomal RNA (409 nucleotides) under Brucella melitensis. Its description in RNAcentral is "partial 16S ribosomal RNA". It matches the Rfam family "Bacterial small subunit ribosomal RNA", at positions 355 to 776 of the family's 1533-position model. The record is from RNAcentral. Lineage: Bacteria; Pseudomonadati; Pseudomonadota; Alphaproteobacteria; Hyphomicrobiales; Brucellaceae. RNAcentral also lists the same sequence under 1 other name.